Molecule: transfer RNA, 76 nt
Filed under: Pectobacterium brasiliense
Lineage: Bacteria; Pseudomonadati; Pseudomonadota; Gammaproteobacteria; Enterobacterales; Pectobacteriaceae
Description: tRNA-Ser
Source: RNAcentral
GCUUCUAUGUAACAGUUGGUAGAUAUAACACUUUGUAAGGGUGAGGUCCCCAGUUCGACUCUGGGUAUCAGCACCA